RNAcentral lists this ribosomal RNA (1470 nucleotides) under metagenome. RNAcentral describes it as "bacterial SSU rRNA". It matches the Rfam family "Bacterial small subunit ribosomal RNA". The record is from RNAcentral.
AGAGUUUGAUCCUGGCUCAGGACGAACGCUGGCGGCACGCUUAACACAUGCAAGUCGAACGAGAGAAGAGGAGCUUGCUUUUCUGAUCUAGUGGCGGACGGGUGAGUAACACGUGAGCAAUCUGCCUUUCAGAGGGGGAUACCGAUUGGAAACGAUCGUUAAUACCGCAUAACAUAAUUGAACCGCAUGAUUUGAUUAUCAAAGAUUUAUCGCUGAAAGAUGAGCUCGCGUCUGAUUAGCUAGUUGGUAAGGUAACGGCUUACCAAGGCGACGAUCAGUAGCCGGACUGAGAGGUUGAUCGGCCACAUUGGGACUGAGACACGGCCCAGACUCCUACGGGAGGCAGCAGUGGGGAAUAUUGCACAAUGGAGGAAACUCUGAUGCAGCGAUGCCGCGUGAGGGAAGAAGGUUUUAGGAUUGUAAACCUCUGUCUUCAGGGACGAAAAAAGACGGUACCUGAGGAGGAAGCUCCGGCUAACUACGUGCCAGCAGCCGCGGUAAUACGUAGGGAGCGAGCGUUGUCCGGAAUUACUGGGUGUAAAGGGAGCGUAGGCGGGAUCGCAAGUCAGAUGUGAAAACUAUGGGCUUAACCCAUAAACUGCAUUUGAAACUGUGGUUCUUGAGUGAAGUAGAGGUAAGCGGAAUUCCUAGUGUAGCGGUGAAAUGCGUAGAUAUUAGGAGGAACAUCAGUGGCGAAGGCGGCUUACUGGGCUUUAACUGACGCUGAGGCUCGAAAGCGUGGGGAGCAAACAGGAUUAGAUACCCUGGUAGUCCACGCCGUAAACGAUGAUUACUAGGUGUGGGGGGACUGACCCCUUCCGUGCCGCAGCAAACGCAAUAAGUAAUCCACCUGGGGAGUACGACCGCAAGGUUGAAACUCAAAGGAAUUGACGGGGGCCCGCACAAGCAGUGGAGUAUGUGGAUUAAUUCGAAGCAACACGAAGAACCUUACCAGGUCUUGACAUCGUAUGCAUAGCUCAGAGAUGAGUGAAAUCUCUUCGGAGACAUAUAGACAGGUGGUGCAUGGUUGUCGUCAGCUCGUGUCGUGAGAUGUUGGGUUAAGUCCCGCAACGAGCGCAACCCUUACUGUUAGUUGCUACGCAAGAGCACUCUAGCAGGACUGCCGUUGACAAAACGGAGGAAGGUGGGGAUGACGUCAAAUCAUCAUGCCCCUUAUGACCUGGGCCUCACACGUACUACAAUGGCUGUCAACAGAGGGAAGCAAAGCUGCGAGGUGGAGCGAACCCCUAAAAGCAGUCUUAGUUCGGAUUGUAGGCUGCAACCCGCCUACAUGAAGUCGGAAUUGCUAGUAAUCGCAGAUCAGCAUGCUGCGGUGAAUACGUUCCCGGGCCUUGUACACACCGCCCGUCACGCCAUGGGAGUCGGUAACACCCGAAGCCUGUAGUCUAACCGCAAGGAGGACGCAGUCGAAGGUGGGAUUGAUGACUGGGGUGAAGUCGUAACAAGGUA